Molecule: long non-coding RNA, 473 nt
Organism: Ipomoea nil (Japanese morning glory)
Lineage: Eukaryota; Viridiplantae; Streptophyta; Magnoliopsida; Solanales; Convolvulaceae
Exons: 4
Source: RefSeq, a predicted model, not a curated record
UUGAAGACUUGCAGAGCUAUUAGACUGCAAUUGGUGCGCACCUAUAUGAAGUCUCAUAGAGAAAGAGGAGUGAAUCCAUAAAAUCUAGAGAGUGCAUCUCUUCACGAUCAAGAGGUAUUUUUUUUUUCAAUUUUGCUUUUUUUUAUACGACUCCAAUGUUUAUUCUUGCCUAGGAUAUUUCUCCAUUGAAGACUUUCAAAGCUAUUAGAUGGUGAUUGGUGUGCACCUAUAUGAAGUCUCAUAGAGAAAGGAAACUUCAUGCUCAUAUACCAAGGGAACAUGUUGGGUCGUUGAGAUAUACUCCCCAUUGGAUAAGAUCAUUGCAUGGAAGCUUUCUUAACUUAUUGAUUUUCUAAUUUUUAUUUGUUUAUAGGGACAAUCAAUUGAAAGCUACAGUGUGGGAUCAACAUAUACCAAGGCCAAGAGUUGAAACUUUUUUUUUUUUUUUUUAUAUUCUGGCCUUGCAAAUCCUA